AACGAACGCUGGCGGCAGGCAAAACACAUGCAAGUCGAAGGAGAAGCAGGACUUCGGUUCUGUGGACACUGGCGAACGGGUGUGUAACGCGUGGGAACCUACCCUGGGGUGGGGGACAACCACUGGAAACGGUGGCUAAUACCGCAUACGCCCUCCGGGGGAAAACUUUUGUGCCCUGGGAUGGUCCCGCGUCGGAUUAGCUAGUUGGUGGGGUAACGGCCUACCAAGGCGACGAUCCGUAACUGGUCUGAGAGGAUGAUCAGUCACACUGGAACUGAGACACGGUCCAGACUCCUACGGGAGGCAGCAGUGGGGAAUAUUGGACAAUGGGGGCAACCCUGAUCCAGCCAUGCCGCGUGGGUGAAGAAGGCCUUAGGGUUGUAAAACCCUUUCAGCGGGGAAGAUGAUGACGGUACCCGCAGAAGAAGCCCCGGCUAACUCCGUGCCAGCAGCCGCGGUAAUACGGAGGGGGCUAGCGUUGUUCGGAAUUACUGGGCGUAAAGGGCGUGUAGGCGGUCUAUCGAGUCAGGCGUGAAAGCCCCGGGCUUAACCUGGGAACUGCGUUUGAUACUGAUAGACUAGAGGUUGGAAGAGGAGAGUGGAAUUCCCAGUGUAGAGGUGAAAUUCGUAGAUAUUGGGAAGAACACCAGUGGCGAAGGCGGCUCUCUGGUCCAUACCUGACGCUGAGGCGCGAAAGCGUGGGGAGCAAACAGGAUUAGAUACCCUGGUUAGUCCACGCCGUAAAACGAUGUGUGCCUAGACGUCGGGUGUUCAGCAUUUCGGUGUCGGGA
RNAcentral lists this ribosomal RNA (791 nucleotides) under uncultured bacterium. Its description in RNAcentral is "bacterial SSU rRNA". It matches the Rfam family "Bacterial small subunit ribosomal RNA", at positions 28 to 851 of the family's 1533-position model. The record is from RNAcentral.